This 1164-nucleotide long non-coding RNA is filed under the name Triticum aestivum (bread wheat). RNAcentral's name for it is "long non-coding RNA (TAES_LNC025294)". Lineage: Eukaryota; Viridiplantae; Streptophyta; Magnoliopsida; Poales; Poaceae. The record is from RNAcentral.
CCUGUAGGAGUAUUUAAAACAGAGGAAUUGACAUGUUACUAAUUUCUUCUUCUUCCCAAACAGAUUUUGAAGGUAUUGAAGCACAACCUUUGUACCCAACCUGCAAAAUGCUAGUAUAAGAUUCUUAGAUAAGGAGGGCUCCAGGCGCUCAAACAAUUUCAACUACAAGCAGGUUCGCGGAUCCUCCUGUGUCCCCCUUUUCUCUGGUUUAUGAUUCCCAACAUUUCCUACCUCCCAUUGGCAAUGCCCGGCUCUGCUCAGGUUCCUAGGAAGUCGUGCCAAUUUGAUGUCAUGUGAUGCUGCUGAUAAGUCUGAAAUUUUGCAUGCCCAAAAUCUAGGCGUCCCAGUUUCGUUGUAGCUACGCUUCUAGUUGUUGCGGGAAAGUGCUCGCUUCUGGGUGUGAGACAAUGGUCUUGCGGUCUUAAUUUUUUGAUCCAGUCGAUUAUGGUAAGAUGUCAUGCCAUGUUGUGAUGUUUGCUUAUUAGGUCUGUAUUGAUCUAUUCUUGCUAGAUGUGCAACAACAAAUUAAGAGAUACGAUACUGAUUCCUUUCUUGUUCAAUGUAAAUUUAUUACAUAAACAUGUGGAGGGCAUUGUAACUUUAGUAGAGUUGGUCAUAUGGUACUGAUUCCUUUCUUGUUCAAUGUAAAUUUAGGAUGAGGAGCGUUGGUGAUAAACACUUACGAGUUCAUUAAUAACUAAGAGACUGUCAUGCUGAAAAAACACUUCCUGCUGUUGAUUAUUAAUCCAUGAGUAUAUUACGACUCCAUAUACGGCAACCACAUGUAGACUUGCUCUAGCUCUUCUUAAUUUCCAUGCAUGUUUCUUUCCGGACUUAAUCUUACUAAAUAUCACCCUGUCACUUGCUGCUAUUGUUAUUCACACUAUAUCCUCAUUGUUCUGUUUUUUUGUUGGCAGAUAUUUUGCCUAAAUUCAAGACGAAAGAAGAUGUUCAAAGAAGCGCCAAGACAUUUUUGUAUAGCAAGUUAUGUAAUAAUAGUUGGGUUAUCUGGCCAUUCUGAACUCCAGAAUUUCAUAUAUCUUCUCUCUGUUUUUGAAUGAAAUGUUGUAUGUUUUAGAAUUACAAUUUUUGUUUCAUAUGAAAUAGUAAUUAUGUAUGUGAUUUGAAAAUGUGUGCAAUGGAAACAUGACUUAUGUAACCCAC